CGAUUUUGUUUACACUGUGAAGCCAAAAUGAACAAAUUCUUGACAGGCUAUCAAAUAUUGUGUCUUGCCCACCGAGACUGGGUGGUCAGGGGUAUUUUCGACUAUCGGUUGCUCUCGUGGAAUGCUCUCAGUCAUCCCAUUUACCCCUAGCAAAAGGAAAUGUGUUAACACUGUUAACAAUGAUGAAUCGGUAGAACUCAGGAGGCCCUCAGUUUAAGUUGUUUAUGACAUUCAAUCAUGAUGGUUUUCGGGGGAGGGGGGUCAAAUUAUGUCCAACUUACGAUAAUUGUAUAAUAAGGAGUUCGGUUGACUUUGGUUCCUGGCGGUUGAUU
Molecule: non-coding RNA, 332 nt
Organism: Cinara cedri
Lineage: Eukaryota; Metazoa; Arthropoda; Insecta; Hemiptera; Aphididae
Source: the annotation of a GenBank genome assembly